GACGUAGGAUGCAAGCGUUGUCCGGAUUUAUUGGGCGUAAAGAGAGCGUAGGCGGUUUCUUAAGUCUGAAGUUAAAGACUGGGGCUCAACCCCAGGAGUGCUUCGGAGACUGGGAGACUUGAGGACGGAAGAGGGCAGUGGAAUUCCAAGUGUAGCGGUGAAAUGCGUAGAUAUUUGGAGGAACACCAGUGGCGAAAGCGACUGCCUGGUCCGUUUCUGACGCUGAGGCUCGAAAGCCAGGGGAGCAAACGGG
Molecule: ribosomal RNA, 253 nt
Filed under: uncultured bacterium
Lineage: Bacteria
Description: partial 16S ribosomal RNA
Rfam family: Bacterial small subunit ribosomal RNA
Source: RNAcentral